CCCCUAGAUGUUCUGGGCCGCACGCGCGCUACACUGAACAGUUCAACAAGUCUUAACCUUGGCCGAUAGGUCUGGGUAAUCUUUGAACGCUGUUCGUGAUUGGGAUAGACCUUUGCAAUUAUUAAUCUUCAACGAGGAAUGCCUAGUAAGCGCAAGUCAUCAGCUUGCGUUGAUUACGUCCCUGCCCUUUGUACACACCGCCCGUCGCUCCUACCGAUUGAAUGGUCCGGUGAAGCGUUCGGACCGUGGCCUUUGGACGGUUCGCCGUCUGUUGGCUGCGGGAAGUUCGUUAAACCUUAUCAUUUAGAGGAAGGAGAAGUCGUAACA
RNAcentral lists this ribosomal RNA (327 nucleotides) under uncultured eukaryote. RNAcentral's name for it is "partial 18S ribosomal RNA". It matches the Rfam family "Eukaryotic small subunit ribosomal RNA", at positions 1470 to 1796 of the family's 1831-position model. The record is from RNAcentral.